This 21-nucleotide microRNA is filed under the name Triticum aestivum (bread wheat). Its description in RNAcentral is "tae-miR9670-3p". The record is from miRBase by way of RNAcentral. Lineage: Eukaryota; Viridiplantae; Streptophyta; Magnoliopsida; Poales; Poaceae.
AGGUGGAAUACUUGAAGAAGA